RNAcentral lists this microRNA (20 nucleotides) under Citrus sinensis (sweet orange). RNAcentral describes it as "csi-miR3951a-3p". Lineage: Eukaryota; Viridiplantae; Streptophyta; Magnoliopsida; Sapindales; Rutaceae. The record is from miRBase by way of RNAcentral.
UUUCUCUUAUCGUUAUCUGU